CUCUCUCUCGCCACCUUCUACCUUCCUGUCUCCCUCGAGCUAUCUACACAUGCUCUGGUCAGCAUGCUCACCACCUCCUCGGGCCCUGUCCGGUACAUGAGUUAACAGUAUGAGAAAGAUGAGUAAGCAAGGAAAACUAGGAAACAUAUAUAAACUGUAGUUUCAUAGUUUUCAUAGUCUCCCAGGAAAAUCAAUACUGUUGUCUUCUCUUACCUUGUCCCAGUCCCGUUGCCUCUUUUCACCUUCUAGACCUUCCAACGUCUAAAAGUCGCAUCGGUCAGCCAUUAGUCCGGCUCCUGUUCCUUUUCAUCCCUCGGCUAUUCUGUCCUCGUCCUUCCUUCUCGCCACCCUCUUCGAUUGAGCGUCGGGCUUUUACGCUGACCGGCGUGACGUCCCUGACAGAAAGGAUGGCACAUAAGAAAGUAGCUUUUCAUAAUUUCCCAGUUCCCCAGGAAAUCAAUACUGUUGUCCUUUCUCACUAUCUUUCCUACGAGCAUCCUUCUUUUUACGUCGCUUCAGCCAAUCCUUAGUCCAGCUCCUCCUGCUCCUUCAGGCCCUGGCUAUGACGUAUUCCUUCCUCUAAGUCCAGCUUCUCGCACUUGGGCAGUAUAAUAAACCACUGAGUGAAUUUUAAGGGUGCCUCUGUGUGUAGAAACAAUGGCUGGGAGGAUACGCUGUGCAUCGAUGUAAAUUGUUCUUAUUUGGAUACUGUGUUCCGUCUCACUUCAUAAACGAACGAAGCGAUGAACAAGAACGAGACGAAGAAGAAAAGCUGGACCCGGGCGGCAGAGGUCGCCAAAAAAAAAGGCAGGCCUAAUGGGACCUUUUUCCUACAAACCCAAAUGUUGGCCUUAAUUCGGCUCAAAAUUUCCCGUCGACCCAGGCGCUGGACUCCUUUCGCAAAAAACUUCAUUUUAAGCAUGGUUUGGGGAUUUUGGAUAACAAUUUCCGAACGGCAGAUUUUCUACUGGAAUAUGGAGUGUCGCGCACUGUACCAGUACAACAAUACCAUCAUGUGGAGAGAUCAGACCUCAACGUCAGAUCAUCCUCCGCGGACUUGUCACGGGCCGUCCAUCGGUCACGGCUGUAGAAAGCGCAAACGCCUGUAUGAUAUAUGGAUGCCUUCGUCUAUCUCCUCCAGAUGAACAAUAAUCGCACUCAGUGUCCGGAUCCAUGGGUGCUGGAAAUUAAAGAUUCCCGGCCUCGCCACUAAAAGCAGGGCGAUGUCAUUGGCAAAGGAGGAUGAUUGUGCGCGGGAUUGACGGCCCUUCCACGCCCAAUUUUCACCUCACAUCAUUCGGUUCCAUUUCAGUUUCCGCCAUUUCUCAUGCUGUAGCAGCAAAAAAACACUCAUUUGACCGUAUAUGUGGCCCUACUACGCGCAUUUUCAAAUAUGUCCCUUCUGGUGAUGAUAAGAUCGAGUAUUUUGUAGCGAGGUUUUGCAAGUACGGUAGAAUUUGUCCUGACUAUGGAAUACUCGGCCACCAACGAACUCGCCAUCAUAUCGAUGACUUCGAAAAUGCAUUUUGUUUCGUUG
Molecule: small RNA, 1537 nt
Filed under: Cryptococcus neoformans H99
Lineage: Eukaryota; Fungi; Basidiomycota; Tremellomycetes; Tremellales; Cryptococcaceae
Description: Cryptococcus neoformans var. grubii H99 hypothetical RNA
Source: RNAcentral